AGAGGAAAGGCUGAAGGUUGAGUUGAUUACCAGUAGCUCACGAUAUAAUCAUUCAUGCCUACAUAACACAGCUUUCAUAAGAACCCAAUAGGACAGGGUUCAAGGACCCUCUAAAGAAUGCCACACCUAUAGAGGCAUGGAAACUCUUUGCCACUUUCAUCUGACUAUUGAUCUAUAUCCUUUGUAAUGCCUCUUAUAAGAAAUGGGCAGAUUCUAGCAGUGUUUGUGAGAAAAACUGAUGGAUCCUGCAGAUUAACUAUGGACAGCCAAAUAUUGAGUAAAGUGAUGUCUACAACAGCAUCAGCUAUGCCUGAUAUGGUGUUAAUUCACAUUGUGAAGUUCCAAAAUCAGAAGAUGAUACAGAAAGAUUGCUCUGGUUGCCUGGUUUCUGAAGAAAUCGUGUACCCUGUCUGGAUAGUGUCUUACUUCCUAUCCACAAAGUUGUGAAAUAAUCUGGAAUUAAAUGGCAACCUAAACAACCCUAGAGUUGCCUGAACACAGAGCCAUUGCUGUGUUGAUCAUUAUAGCAGUCCUCAAUAGGAAAAAGAUGCCUCCCUGGUCGACCUUCCUGGAAAGUAUGCAUAUCAUUACUGCUUAGAUUUUGUUGGAGAGAAAUCACACUACCAUCAAAGACAACGGGUCAAAAAGAAUGCCGUCCUAAGCUGAGAAGCCAUCUUCCUAACGACAGCCAUGUAAUAUGAAAGGGAAAAACACACUGUUAUUGAAGAACUUAUCAGCUAUGUCACAUCUUCCACACAAAUACUCAGGAAAGUUAAAAGAAAAUUUUACCUCGGACACAGUUGAUGAUUGCUAAAGUCCUAUUGCAUGCUUUAAGAUGCCUUGCGUUUGGUGAAUUGAAGCCUGAUAUGUCAACAUACUCUCUGUAAACACAGCAGCACAGAGGGCAAAGAAACACUUAUCCAGCACCACAGCUAGGACAAAAGGAAUUAUUUUGACAGUUGGUAUGUACCCAAUUGUGACUAAACCAAAAGAAACAAAUCUGGAAACUGAAGUAUCAAUACGUGAAAAGCGUUCUUUUGGUAUUGGGAGUGCCAGUUGUCUUUGUUUCAUGAACUACUUCUCCGUAAUAGCAUGCAGCCAUCUUCAAGAGGUGAGAAUUUCACUUAGCGACUUAAACAGAAGUGUUAUCUCAAGAUAAUAUAAUAUCUGGAGCACAGAGGAAAGGCCAUACAAACACACAGGGAGAAAGCCACCAUCUGCGAGCAGAGGAGUGGGGCCUCACCAGAAACCAACCCUGCUGGCACCUUGAUCCUGGAAUUCCAGCCUCAGAACUCGGAUAAAAUAAAUUUAUGUGAUUUAU
Long non-coding RNA from Homo sapiens (human), 1321 nucleotides. Ensembl annotates it as long intergenic non-protein coding RNA 2109. The record is from Ensembl. Lineage: Eukaryota; Metazoa; Chordata; Mammalia; Primates; Hominidae.